This is an RNA transcript of Megalobrama amblycephala (Wuchang bream), 2012 nucleotides long. It is a transcript of the gene named WD repeat domain phosphoinositide-interacting protein 1, with no coding region annotated. The record is from RefSeq and is a predicted model, not a curated record. The transcript is spliced from 12 exons. NCBI's taxonomy places the organism in Eukaryota, Metazoa, Chordata, Actinopteri, Cypriniformes, Xenocyprididae.
AAUAAGAUUCCCCAUGACUCCAUGACGUAAACGCAUCACGUCAGCUGGUUUUUGUUUUGCUCAAACGGAACACUGCGCGUGUCAGCAACUGGACGCUCAAUAAUAAUAACCUUAAAAACAAUAAUUAGUUGCCAAACAUGUAAUUUUCUUUGAAAGCAAAACUGCCACAAUUUAUGGACAUAUACUAGCGUCACUGCGGGAUGAUCGAACCGAUCGCAGAGCUCCGAACCGGAGAGAAGGUGCGAAGAUCCGGUUCUUCUCCAGACAGGCAGAGUUCUGGUUCUGAUGGAUCUCCGGAGCUCCAGAGGCUCUCGUGCGCGUCCUUCAACCAGGACACAACGUCUUUGGCUGUUGGUGGUCAGAAUGGCUACAGGCUUUUCUCUCUGUCCUCUGUUGACAGAAUGGAUUGCAUUCAUCAAGGAGUGUGUGAAAACUGUGUGUCUGUGUGGUCAGUGGAGAGCCCUGAUGUGUGUGUGGCGGAGCGGCUCUUCUCCAGCAGUCUGAUGGUGGUCGUGAGCAGAUCUGCUCCGUUCAGGAUGAACAUCUAUCACUUCAAGAAGGGCACAGAGAUCUGUAACUACAGCUACUCCAGCAACAUCCUCGCGGUCAAGCUCAACCGUCAGAGACUCGUAGUGUGUUUGGAGGAGGCCCUGUACAUCCAUAAUAUCAAGGACAUGAAGCUGCUGAAGUCUCUUCUCAACACGCCACCGAACCCCACAGGUCUGUGCGCAUUAUCUGUCAAUCUUUCCAACUCAUACCUGGCGUAUCCUGGGAGCGUCACCGCGGGAGAGAUCACUCUGUAUGAUGCUGUGAAUCUGAAUGAGGUGACUGUGAUCUCCGCCCAUGCCAGUCAUGUGGCCGCCAUCUCAUUCAACGCUUCAGGAACCAGUCUGGCCACUGCUUCUGAAAAAGGCACUGUUAUACGAGUCUUCAGCGUUCCUGACGGAGACAAACUGUUUGAAUUCCGCAGAGGGAUGAAGAGGUAUGUGAGCAUCAGUUCCUUGUCGUUCAGUGCCGACGCACAGUUUCUCUGUGCCUCCAGUAACACAGAGACUGUUCAUAUCUUCAGACUGGAGCAUCACAGACCCAGUCAGGAGUCUCCAUCAUGGUCUGGAUACAUGGGGAAGAUGUUUUCUGCCGCCAGCACUUACCUUCCCUCUCAGGUGUCGGACAUGAUGCAUCAGGACCGAGCGUUUGCUACCGUCCGCCUCGCCGCGGCAGGCAUGAAGAAUAUAUCCGCUCUCUCCACGAUCCAGAAGGUUCCACGUCUUCUGGUGGCUUCAUUAGAUGGUCAUCUCUACAUCUACAAUAUAGAUCCGCAGGAAGGAGGAGACUGUCCUUUAGUCAAGAAGCACAGAGACGACAACGAAGUCAAAACGUUCCCGUUCACACGGAUCCUCGAAAACGACUAAAAUCACUGUAUUCUGCUGCCUGGCCAGUAGAUGGCGAUGUCACUUUAUAAAGAAUCACCAAGCACCUAUAGACUGAACACGUAACACGCAUGUGCAUGAUGUUACCGUUUUCACAAAUUUGCAGUUUUGUAGUUUUCACGGAGACGAUAACAGUGUCGUUUUCAAAAACUUGCGCUUUGAAACCCGUUUUCAAAAGUCUGCAUUUUCAGGCCCCCAAAAUGCAGUUAUCAUGUAAAUGAACUUAUAAAAGUUUAAUAAAAUGUUGUGUGUACACAGUAAUUUAAGCAAAGGAAUGUGAUUGUGUGAAACUCGUGACUGGAUACGUUAGGCUCAUUUAAAAUCAGAUUCACGUGUAAAUAUAUUCAUGCCUUUGAUUGUGUCUUAAGCUUUUGAACCUUGAGUAGCUGAUGGUCAAAUCUCUAGAUAAUUUUGCAUUUUAUUCGUCCAAUAGACUGUACGAGAGUGCUGAUGAAGGUCCAGCGGCGUCGGAGCUCGAGGUCGGAAGUCCAUCCUACGCAGCAACUGUUGCCACGAGCAGGAAUCAGGACUCUCCGUCCUCCAGCUCCCUCACGGGCUACUCUGAGGAUGGAGGAGCGAAGA